AUACGUAGGAGGCAAGCGUUGUCCGGAUUUAUUGGGCGUAAAGGGCGUGUAGGCGGCAUGGGAAGUCCUUGGUGAAAGCUCCCGGCUCAACUGGGAGAGGUCCCCGGAUACUGGCGGACUUGAGGGAGGCAGAGGAAAGUGGAAUUCCCGGUGUAGUGGUGAUAUGCGUAGAUAUCGGGAGGAACACCAGUGGCGAAGGCGGCUUUCUGGGCCUUACCUGACGCUGAGACGCGAAAGCGUGGGGAGCGAACCGGAUUAGAAACCCCGGUAGUCC
RNAcentral lists this ribosomal RNA (274 nucleotides) under uncultured bacterium. RNAcentral's name for it is "partial 16S ribosomal RNA". It matches the Rfam family "Bacterial small subunit ribosomal RNA", at positions 523 to 796 of the family's 1533-position model. The record is from RNAcentral.